GUAAACUUUGAGCAUCUGUAGAGAGAAGAGGCAAAAAAGAGGGAAGGAUUCGGAUAUAUAUUAUAUGCAAAUAGAACGAGUGCAAAAGACUGGGAGUAAAAUAAGUGUAAAAGGGGGAAAAAGCAAAAUUUAUAAUUUCUGAUCCAGUUUUCUGCUAUUCUAUUUUUCUUGGCUAACAACCUCAAGCUCUACAGCCCUCAAAACUCAAGAUCCCAGCG
RNAcentral lists this unclassified non-coding RNA (218 nucleotides) under Hevea brasiliensis (rubber tree). The record is from RNAcentral. Lineage: Eukaryota; Viridiplantae; Streptophyta; Magnoliopsida; Malpighiales; Euphorbiaceae.